This 253-nucleotide ribosomal RNA is filed under the name uncultured bacterium. Its description in RNAcentral is "partial 16S ribosomal RNA". It matches the Rfam family "Bacterial small subunit ribosomal RNA", at positions 524 to 776 of the family's 1533-position model. The record is from RNAcentral.
UACGGAGGGAGCUAGCGUUGUUCGGAAUUACUGGGCGUAAAGCGCACGUAGGCGGCUUUGCAAGUUAGAGGUGAAAGCCCGGGGCUCAACUCCGGAAUUGCCUUUAAAACUGCAUCGCUAGAGUUGUGGAGAGGUAAGUGGAAUUCCGAGUGUAGAGGUGAAAUUCGUAGAUAUUCGGAGGAACACCAGUGGCGAAGGCGACUUACUGGACACAUACUGACGCUGAGGUGCGAAAGCGUGGGGAGCAAACAGG